CGGGGAGGAAAUGACGGAAAGUGAUGAAAGUUGCUAACUGCUAUGCUGCUCUGUGCACUUGAAUUUGAUGCCAAAUACCAAGAAUCAAAGACAGAAUAGUGGAAGGCGGUAGGAGAAUGAGAGGUACCGGGUGCUGAUGGAUCACUUACCUCGCAGAUUCCCAUGUUUUGGAGAAAAUUGCUUGUAGACUUGGAGCAGAGACCUCUUCUGGGGGCCCUCUGAGUUGUGAAUUAAUCACUUGGAGCCCAGAGACACCAGGUUCUCGAAGAGCACGCUGGACCAGGAGGCAAACUCGGAAACCCUUCAUCUUCCCCCUCCUGUGUGCUCUCCAUCAUGUUCCGUGGUCAUUUGACACACUCCUCUCCCUGCAGACAGAACGUGGAGUUCUGUAGCAGUCCUUUGGGAAAGCCUGUGCUUGGUGGAGGCCCAGUCCCCUACAGAGGACGCAGGCGACGGGAACACGCCCAGUGGGAAAAUCUCACGGGGUUUCCCACUGUCACCUGAUUCUUGAUCUCGAUUAAAUCUCAAAGCCUGUGCUUUCCCAAUAAAUCAAAUUCAUGUC
This is a long non-coding RNA of Molossus molossus (Pallas's mastiff bat), 562 nucleotides long. RefSeq lists it as uncharacterized. NCBI's taxonomy places the organism in Eukaryota, Metazoa, Chordata, Mammalia, Chiroptera, Molossidae. The transcript has 3 exons. The record is from RefSeq and is a predicted model, not a curated record.